Molecule: ribosomal RNA, 420 nt
Filed under: Bacillus subtilis
Lineage: Bacteria; Bacillati; Bacillota; Bacilli; Caryophanales; Bacillaceae
Description: bacterial SSU rRNA
Rfam family: Bacterial small subunit ribosomal RNA
Source: RNAcentral
GUCUUGACAUCCUCUGACAAUCCUAGAGAUAGGACGUCCCCUUCGGGGGCAGAGUGACAGGUGGUGCAUGGUUGUCGUCAGCUCGUGUCGUGAGAUGUUGGGUUAAGUCCCGCAACGAGCGCAACCCUUGAUCUUAGUUGCCAGCAUUCAGUUGGGCACUCUAAGGUGACUGCCGGUGACAAACCGGAGGAAGGUGGGGAUGACGUCAAAUCAUCAUGCCCCUUAUGACCUGGGCUACACACGUGCUACAAUGGACAGAACAAAGGGCAGCGAAACCGCGAGGUUAAGCCAAUCCCACAAAUCUGUUCUCAGUUCGGAUCGCAGUCUGCAACUCGACUGCGUGAAGCUGGAAUCGCUAGUAAUCGCGGAUCAGCAUGCCGCGGUGAAUACGUUCCCGGGCCUUGUACACACCCCGCCCGU